CCUACGGGGAGCAGCAGUGGGGAAUAUUGGACAAUGGGCGAAAGCCUGAUCCAGCCAUGCCGCGUGUGUGAAGAAGGCCUUCGGGUUGUAAAGCACUUUCAGUGGGGAAGAAAGCCUUGGGGCUAAUACCCUCGAGGAAGGACAUCACCCACAGAAGAAGCACCGGCUAACUCCGUGCCAGCAGCCGCGGUAAUACGGAGGGUGCGAGCGUUAAUCGGAAUUACUGGGCGUAAAGCGCGCGUAGGCGGUCUGAUAAGCCGGUUGUGAAAGCCCCGGGCUCAACCUGGGAACGGCAUCCGGAACUGUCAGGCUAGAGUGCAGGAGAGGAAGGUAGAAUUCCCGGUGUAGCGGUGAAAUGCGUAGAGAUCGGGAGGAACACCAGUGGCGAAGGCGGCCUUCUGGACUGACACUGACGCUGAGGUGCGAAAGCGUGGGUAGCAAACAGGAUUAGAUACCCGGGUAGUC
RNAcentral lists this ribosomal RNA (465 nucleotides) under Vreelandella stevensii. Its description in RNAcentral is "partial 16S ribosomal RNA". It matches the Rfam family "Bacterial small subunit ribosomal RNA", at positions 338 to 795 of the family's 1533-position model. Lineage: Bacteria; Pseudomonadati; Pseudomonadota; Gammaproteobacteria; Oceanospirillales; Halomonadaceae. The record is from RNAcentral.